CAUCGUUAUCAUCCCCCCGCUUCUGUUGCUGCUUGUGACCUAAGCUCUUCGCCACGAGAUCAGCAAUAUCUUUAGCAGUUUCCAAAUAAUUUGUGGCAUAUUCCAAACCUGCCUUUAUCUUUCGAAGAACGCCUGCAAAUUUAUCCUUCGUUAUUAAUGAAUUAUCUUGGAAUUAUUUUUCUAACUAACCAUCCUUUUCUUCUGACGAACCAGGGACAGAAAUUAUCAUAAAAGAGACACAGAUAAAUAUGCACACAAAUUUCGACAUGGUGACGCAAUGGAAAUGUUUCGAGAACUGAGGAACGCACUCCGGAGGUAACGGAUGUUAAUUACUCAUUUCCACCCCGUUGAUUCCCGACGUUCCUCUUCCUAGUUCGUGAUGACUGAAGAAUGAUUCAGACUCUCCUCGCUUUGUCAACCAAGCAGGAGAAAUUAGAACUCGAGAUUGAGGGGACAAUUACGUCCUGCUGGUUACAGAACAGGUACGAUAACCAGUCUUCUUUUGGAUAAGAAACAACUCGGUUCUGUCAUAGUAAUCGAAGAUGACGAAAAGAAAUUUUUCACCUAUCAUCGGAAUUUUCACUGCACUGCUGUUAUUUUAUUUAAAAACAAUAUCCGCGAAUCGUACAUCUUUCUACCUAGAAGAGGUUCGCAGUCUGAGCGAACUGCCAAUGACGGAACUGAUUCAUAUAAAAUCUUCUCUCAUCGAUGAAGAAGAUUUUACCACUGAUGAUGAACACGAAGAAGAAGCAUCGAGUAGAACAUUAUCUGUGUCACUGCCUGUUGCACAACCCUUGAAAAGAAUGAAUAAAAAAUCCAUAAGGCGAUACGAAGAUCAUUACGACGAAAAGGGGAAGGAUUCGAAGAUCUCGAAGAUAUUUCAACUUUCGGUCACUGCUCUUUCUUUUUUGGCAUUCGGUGGUUAUUUGCUUACAUUAAUAAUAACGACAAUUCGACAGAAUUCAGGGACCAAUGGCAAUGGAAACGUCAUUGUCCUCUCGAACCUACAAGGUUUACAAAAUUACAAUCGUCCGAGGAGAAAUGUUAGAAUUUUGGAUCCAGCUGAGAACGAGUUCGAAAUGGAAAAAUUGUAUCGAGGGAUGAUCAUGCUGUCUCGAACGUAUGCAGCGUAUAAUUAAUAUUUAAGAAGCUCUGUUUAAUAUAUUUUUCAUCGACUGAUUUGUGCGUAUCGAACGAAGAAGCUGUAGGUGUUGAGAGAUGUCGAGAAAAAAAGGGGUUCUGGUUUCGCGAUCCGGGCACUCAAUUAGGGAUUCGCUUAUCAUGAUUCGGCGGACUCUUGAAAAUCCUAAAACCUAAUAAAAUCGAAUAGAGGAUCACGGUGUGUACAUAUCCCGAAGAAUAUUCUUAGCAUGUGGGUAGAGGCUGCUUCAAACAUGGCUGUUCAAAUAAACACCUAAGUGACUGUAUACUCUGAAAGUCUGCAUGCAAAGAUAACCAUAUGGCUUCCAGAGAUAUCAUCAGCCAUACGUCUCUAUGCUAUUAUUCCACGGAUAUCUAUAGCAUCAGUAACAUUUUUCUAUUUUUCUUCUUAAUUUAUUCUGUUCGUUUUCCUCUUCAAAAAAAAAAAGUUAAAUAUCCCAUUCUAAAAAUUCCAAAAUUUCCGUGUCAUUAGCAUAGUAUUUUUAAACGAAUCGAUAGCAUUUUUCUAUUUUUCUUCUUUUUAAUUCAUCUGUUCGUUUUCCUCUAAAAGAAAAAAUUAAAGUAUCCUUUUAAAAAAUGUCAUUAGCAUAUCAUUAUUUGAGUGUCUUUUAAAUAUCUGAAUAUUUUAUUUUAAGGAAUAUAAAUAUAGCUUCGAUGAGGCACACUUUCCAAGAAUACCAAUAAAUUCAAUAAAUUCUACCCAAAUAGAAUUACGUCAGUUUCGUUCGGACUCGAUGAUCUUCGCCUAAACCGAUAUCAUCGACCAAUCGUUUCGUUACCCAUCGUUUUAUGACAUUUUUUAUAAUGUUUAUCUGGUGGAACGAGAAGAAGGAAUGUUCUAAGCGACGCAGCGCGGACCAUUCGAAAGGCUGACAUUUAGAGUCAUCAUCAUCCUUCAGGAACCAAUCUUCAGUGAGCCACGCCUACAGCAUCCGUGUGGGCCAAUCCCAUCGACGAAAUUGCACCGAGCUCCCACGAUAUUUCUCGUUUUUUUUCUCUUUUUUUUCCAACCAAAAUCCGUUCUGAAGAUGGCAGAAACUUGUAAGCUUGCUCGUUCCUAUGCACUUCCGUCAAAGCUCAUUAUUCAGCCCUUAACUCUAGCGUCGUUGAGACUCUCGCGAUCGUUAUGAAUUAAUUAAAAUCGAUUUGUCAAUUCUCGUUCCUUUUGUUUUUCAAUGAUGAAAUAAACUAGUUGAGUGAAUCAUCGCGGCCAGCUAGAAAAUGUCAAAGUUUUGAGGAAUAAGUGAUCGCAGUCGGUGAGGAAGAUGAACGAAGUGAACACGCGUAUGGUGGAUGACACGAAUUGUUCCAAACAGUUAAAAUUCGGUGUGGAACGUAUAUUGUCGGAUGAAUUCAGCACGAAGAGAACAGUCAAUUUUCAUUUUCUUAAUGGUAUCCGGUUGAAAUUAAGCGACGAUGACAGACGUUACGCGUUUCUUCCGUUUAUGCGAACGAGUUUCAAGCAACGUUGUGUCUUCGACAAGAUAUACUCAGGCCACUUCCGGUCCAGUUCUCGACGCUGCGGUGCCCUUGUCCCGGUGCUUGCGUCAGGUGCGAAGCCC
Non-coding RNA from Osmia lignaria (orchard mason bee), 2723 nucleotides. Lineage: Eukaryota; Metazoa; Arthropoda; Insecta; Hymenoptera; Megachilidae. The record is from RefSeq and is a predicted model, not a curated record.